UACGUCGGGUGCAAGCGUUAAUCGGAAUUACUGGGCGUAAAGCGUGCGCAGGCGGUUUUGUAAGUCAGAUGUGAAAUCCCCGGGCUUAACCUGGGAACUGCGUUUGAAACUACAAGGCUAGAGUGUGGCAGAGGGGGGUGGAAUUCCACGUGUAGCAGUGAAAUGCGUAGAGAUGUGGAGGAACGCCGAUGGCGAAGGCAGCCCCCUGGGUUAACACUGACGCUCAGGCACGAAAGCGUGGGGAGCAAACAGG
RNAcentral lists this ribosomal RNA (253 nucleotides) under uncultured bacterium. RNAcentral describes it as "partial 16S ribosomal RNA". It matches the Rfam family "Bacterial small subunit ribosomal RNA", at positions 524 to 776 of the family's 1533-position model. The record is from RNAcentral.